This 409-nucleotide long non-coding RNA is filed under the name Heterocephalus glaber (naked mole-rat). RNAcentral describes it as "lncRNA (ENSHGLG00100037494.1)". The record is from RNAcentral. Lineage: Eukaryota; Metazoa; Chordata; Mammalia; Rodentia; Bathyergidae.
CAGCAAGGAGGCUCCCUGAGGAACAGUCAGAGGAAGUCUUCCUACAAAAUACCUGCCAGUGAGGUACAGAUCCUGUUUAGGACCAGAAUGUCAAAAUCUAGCACGAAGAAGAGGUGAACAACAAGCCAAGUAGAUAGUCUGAAAGGUGCUCUUCAAUGUGGCACAAAUAAGACCACAGCUUCUGGGAACAGCAGAUAAUAGAUGAGAUGGCAUGGAGAGGGCAGAAGAAAUUAGAAUGGCUGGGGGUGACAAUCAAAUAAUUGUGACAAGCACUGUGGAGCAAUUUAGAGGCUGGGAGCUCCUGUGGACAUCUAGGUAAAAACCGAUGAGUUUUAGAUUUGAAUUUUGGUGCUUGACUUUGACAUCCUAGUCCAGGAGACAGACUCUAUCCCAGAAUAAUUUAGUAGGC